RNAcentral lists this ribosomal RNA (322 nucleotides) under Cercozoa sp. Its description in RNAcentral is "SSU rRNA". The stretch from base 108 to 322 matches the Rfam family "Eukaryotic small subunit ribosomal RNA", at positions 740 to 955 of the family's 1831-position model. Lineage: Eukaryota; Cercozoa. The record is from RNAcentral.
GAUUUCUGGUACAGCGCGCGCGGCCCGCUUGGGUUCACCAAGUGUGUGUCGAUGUGCGCUUGCCAUCUUUCCGGGAUUGUGUUCUGCUCUUCACUGGGUGGAAUCUUUCUUCGGAUCUUUUACUUUGAAAAAAUUAGAGUGUUUCAAGCAGGCUUUAUGCUAUGAAUACAUUAGCAUGGAAUAAUAAUUUAGGACUUCGGUUCUAUUUUGUUGGUUUCUAGGACUGAAGUAAUGAUUGAUAGGGAUAGUUGGGGGUGCUAGUAUUCAGCGGCCAGAGGUGAAAUUCUCGGAUUCGCUGAAGACUAACUUAUGCGAAAGCAUU